CAAGGUCUCCGUAGGUGAACCUGCGGAGGGAUCAUUACAAAUUCAGUGGGGCGUCGGUUUCGGCCGGCGCGUCGCGUCAACCUCUGUGAACCAUCUCUGUUGCCUCGGGGGCGACCCUGCCGUUUCGGCGGUAGGGGCUCCCGGUGGCCAUCUCAAACACUGCGUUUAUUUGCGUCGGAGUUCAAACAAAUCAAUCAAAACUUUCAACAACGGAUCUCUUGGUUCUGGCAUCGAUGAAGAACGCAGCGAAAUGCGAUAAGUAAUGUGAAUUGCAGAAUUCAGUGAAUCAUCGAAUCUUUGAACGCACAUUGCGCCCUUUGGUAUUCCGAAGGGCAUGCCUGUUCGAGCGUCAUUUCACCACUCAAGCCUGGCUUGGUAUUGGGCGUCGCGGGUCACCGCGCGCUUUAAAGUCUUUCCGGCUGAGCGAUCUAUCUCUAAGCGUUGUGGCAAUCUAUUCGCGGUGAGAUCAGAGCGCGCCGGCCGUUAAAUCUUUCUCAAGGUUGACCUCGGAUCAGGUAGGGAUACCCGCUGAACUUAAGCA
This 541-nucleotide ribosomal RNA is filed under the name Pseudocercospora luzardii. RNAcentral's name for it is "eukaryotic LSU rRNA". The stretch from base 199 to 352 matches the Rfam family "5.8S ribosomal RNA". Lineage: Eukaryota; Fungi; Ascomycota; Dothideomycetes; Mycosphaerellales; Mycosphaerellaceae. The record is from RNAcentral.